GGCCUUGACAUACUAAGAACUUUCCAGAGAUUGGAUUGGUGCCUUCGGGAACUUAGAUACAGGUGCUGCAUGGCUGUCGUCAGCUCGUGUCGUGAGAUGUUGGUUAAGUCCCGNAACGAGCGCAACCUUUUCCUAUUUGCCAGCGGGUCAUGCCGGGAACUUUAAGGAUACUGCCAGUGACAAACUGGAGGAAGGCGGGGACGACGUCAAGUCAUCAUGGCCCUUACGGCCAGGGCUACACACGUGCUACAAUGGUCGGUACAAAGGGUUGCUACCUCGCGAGAGGAUGCUAAUCUCAAAAAGCCGAUCGUAGUCCGGAUCGCAGUCUGCAACUCGACUGCGUGAAGUCGGAAUCGCUAGUAAUCGCGGAUCAGAAUGCCGCGGUGAAUACGUUCCCGGGCCUUGUACACACCGCCCGUCACACCAUGGGAGUUUGUUGCACCAGAAGUAGGUAGUCUAACCGCAAGGAGGACGCUUACCACGGUGUGGCCGAUGACUGGGGUGAAGUCGUAACAAGGUAGGCGUAGAUGA
Molecule: ribosomal RNA, 531 nt
Filed under: uncultured bacterium
Lineage: Bacteria
Description: bacterial SSU rRNA
Rfam family: Bacterial small subunit ribosomal RNA
Source: RNAcentral